CCAAGAAAAAAUGUGAGAAGCAACUUGCUAAGAUGCAAAAAUUAACAGUAAGAAUUUUUUUAAGUACAUCAGAAGCAGGAAAACCAGGGAACAGAGCCA
Gopherus evgoodei (Goodes thornscrub tortoise) is the source of this 99-nucleotide long non-coding RNA. RefSeq lists it as uncharacterized. The transcript is spliced from 3 exons. NCBI's taxonomy places the organism in Eukaryota, Metazoa, Chordata, Testudines, Testudinidae. The record is from RefSeq and is a predicted model, not a curated record.